UGGCAAUGAGGAUAAUUUGCAUUAAAAUGAUUACGUAUGAAUUAAAUUAUACGCUAUUCUGAGCUGCUG
Molecule: small nucleolar RNA, 69 nt
Organism: Neoarius graeffei (lesser salmon catfish)
Lineage: Eukaryota; Metazoa; Chordata; Actinopteri; Siluriformes; Ariidae
Product: small nucleolar RNA U54
Exons: 1
Source: RefSeq, a predicted model, not a curated record